GGUACCUAACCAUGAAAGCCACGGCUAACUACGUGCCAGCAGCCGCGGUAAUACGUAGGUGGAAGCGUUGUCCGGAAUUAUUGGGCGUAAAGCGCGCGCAGGCGGUUCCUUAAGUCUGAUGUGAAAGCCCCCGGCUCAACCGGGGAGGGUCAUUGGAAACUGGGGAACUUGAGUGCAGAAGAGAAGAGUGGAAUUCCACGUGUAGCGGUGAAAUGCGUAGAGAUGUGGAGGAACACCAGUGGCGAAGGCGACUCUUUGGUCUGUAACUGACGCUGAGGCGCGAAAGCGUGGGGAGCAAACAGGAUUAGAUACCCUGGUAGUCCACGCCGUAUUCGUUGAGUGCUAAGUGUUAGAGGGUUUCCGCCCUUUAGUGCUGCAGCAAACGCAUUAAGCACUCCGCCUGGGGAGUACGGCC
Molecule: ribosomal RNA, 415 nt
Filed under: uncultured Bacillota bacterium
Lineage: Bacteria; Bacillati; Bacillota
Description: bacterial SSU rRNA
Rfam family: Bacterial small subunit ribosomal RNA
Source: RNAcentral